This 254-nucleotide ribosomal RNA is filed under the name uncultured microorganism. Its description in RNAcentral is "partial 16S ribosomal RNA". It matches the Rfam family "Archaeal small subunit ribosomal RNA", at positions 474 to 727 of the family's 1478-position model. The record is from RNAcentral.
CACCGGCGGCUCGAGUGGUGGCCACUUUUAUUGGGUCUAAAGCGUCCGUAGCCGGCUUGGCAAGUCCCCUGGGAAAUCUGGCGGCCUAACCGUCAGGCGUCCAGAGGAUACUGCCAGGCUUGGGACCGGGAGAGGUGAGAGGUACCUCAGGGGUAGGGGUGAAAUCUUGUGAUCCCUGAGGGACCACCAGUGGCGAAGGCGUCUCACUAGAACGGGUCCGACGGUCAGGGACGAAAGCUGGGGGCACGAACCGG